AUAGAGAUCGUCGCCCCGGUGAGAGAAAUCUCGCCCGGGGCACAACUCUCCACCCCCUGAUUUGUUAUACCUAGUUGCUUUGGCGGGUCGCGGUCACUCGUGGCCCCGCUGGCUCCGGCUGGCGAGCACCCGCCGAAGAUAAAACCUAAAACUCUUGAAGUAAAUCUUGAAGUCUGAAAUAAAAAUAUAAUAGCCUA
This 197-nucleotide unclassified non-coding RNA is filed under the name uncultured Ascomycota. RNAcentral describes it as "sequence contains ITS1". The record is from RNAcentral. Lineage: Eukaryota; Fungi; Ascomycota.